GGCUUAAAUACGUAUGAUAUCUUGAUGGAGAACACUCAAAGUACUCAAAAUGUAUUUUAAAUAGUGCUUUUUAUUUAAGCAUCAAAUCUUUGGAUACAGAGUGUCGACGUUUCAGUCCCACUGGACUUUUAUCAAGAUGCUUAUAUAAAAAGCACUAUUUGAAAUAUAUUUUGAGUCCUUUGAGUGCUCUCCAUCAAGAUAUCAAUAUGUGUGUGUGUAUUUUAAAGAGGAACUGUCAGGACACUGGAAAAUAUUCUACUGAAUAAAACAUUCAAAAUCACAUAGAAUUUUGGGUUAACCUUUUUUCAUAGAAUGUUCAAUUAUCUUUUAAAUCUACAAUAAAGACUUGGCAACGGACAUCACAAUCCAGUUUAGAUCCAGGAGGCAUUCUGCUAUGUUCUGCAUGGCUUCUCUAUAUUGACUGACAAGGGCUAGGAUUAGAAUAAUGACUGACAGAGAACUAAGAUGGAGGUGAAAAAGGGUUAUGGAUUUCUACAUCUAGUGUAAUUUGUC
This is a non-coding RNA of Pelobates cultripes (western spadefoot toad), 513 nucleotides long. NCBI's taxonomy places the organism in Eukaryota, Metazoa, Chordata, Amphibia, Anura, Pelobatidae. The record is from the annotation of a GenBank genome assembly.